UACGAAGGGGGCUAGCGUUGUUCGGAUUUACUGGGCGUAAAGCGCACGUAGGCGGAUCUUUAAGUCAGAGGUGAAAUCCCAAGGCCCAACCUUGGAACUGCCUUUGAUACUGGGGAUCUUGAGUCCGGGAGAGGUGAGUGGAACUGCGAGUGUAGAGGUGAAAUUCGUAGAUAUUCGCAAGAACACCAGUGGCGAAGGCGGCUCACUGGCCCGGUACAGACGCUGAGGUGCGAAAGCGUGGGGAGCAAACAGG
This 253-nucleotide ribosomal RNA is filed under the name uncultured bacterium. Its description in RNAcentral is "partial 16S ribosomal RNA". It matches the Rfam family "Bacterial small subunit ribosomal RNA", at positions 524 to 776 of the family's 1533-position model. The record is from RNAcentral.